RNAcentral lists this transfer RNA (17 nucleotides) under Berchemia floribunda. RNAcentral's name for it is "partial tRNA-Phe". Lineage: Eukaryota; Viridiplantae; Streptophyta; Magnoliopsida; Rosales; Rhamnaceae. The record is from RNAcentral.
GGGAUAGCUCAGCUGGU